GGGGAUAACUACUGGAAACGGUAGCUAAUACCGCAUAACGUCGCAAGACCAAAGAGGGGGACCUUCGGGCCUCUUGCCAUCGGAUGUGCCCAGAUGGGAUUAGCUAGUAGGUGGGGUAACGGCUCACCUAGGCGACGAUCCCUAGCUGGUCUGAGAGGAUGACCAGCCACACUGGAACUGAGACACGGUCCAGACUCCUACGGGAGGCAGCAGUGGGGAAUAUUGCACAAUGGGCGCAAGCCUGAUGCAGCCAUGCCGCGUGUAUGAAGAAGGCCCUCGGGUUGUAAAGUACUUUCAGCGGGGAGGAAGGGAGUAAAGUUAAUACCUUUGCUCAUUGACGUUACCCGCAGAAGAAGCACCGGCUAACUCCGUGCCAGCAGCCGCGGUAAUACGGAGGGUGCAAGCGUUAAUCGGAAUUACUGGGCGUAAAGCGCACGCAGGCGGUUUGUUAAGUCAGAUGUGAAAUCCCCGGGCUCAACCUGGGAACUGCAUCUGAUACUGGCAAGCUUGAGUCUCGUAGAGGGGGGUAGAAUUCCAGGUGUAGCGGUGAAAUGCGUAGAGAUCUGGAGGAAUACCGGUGGCGAAGGCGGCCCCCUGGACGAAGACUGACGCUCAGGUGCGAAAGCGUGGGGAGCAAACAGGAUUAGAUACCCU
Molecule: ribosomal RNA, 654 nt
Filed under: uncultured bacterium
Lineage: Bacteria
Description: bacterial SSU rRNA
Rfam family: Bacterial small subunit ribosomal RNA
Source: RNAcentral